This 460-nucleotide ribosomal RNA is filed under the name uncultured Bacteroidota bacterium. RNAcentral's name for it is "bacterial SSU rRNA". It matches the Rfam family "Bacterial small subunit ribosomal RNA", at positions 338 to 795 of the family's 1533-position model. The record is from RNAcentral. Lineage: Bacteria; Pseudomonadati; Bacteroidota.
CCUACGGGGGGCUGCAGUAAGGAAUAUUGGACAAUGGGCGCAAGCCUGAUCCAGCCAUGCCGCGUGAAGGAUGACGGCCCUAUGGGUUGUAAACUUCUUUUAGCAGGGAAAAAACCCCUCGAUGCGUCGGGGGCUGAUGGUACCUGCAGAAUAAGGAUCGGCUAACUCCGUGCCAGCAGCCGCGGUAAUACGGAGGAUCCAAGCGUUAUCCGGAUUUAUUGGGUUUAAAGGGUGCGUAGGCGGAUAAAUAAGUCAGUGGUGAAAGCCUGCAGCUUAACUGUAGAAUUGCCAUUGAUACUGUUUAUCUUGAAUAUAGUUGAGGUGGGCGGAAUAUGACAUGUAGUGGUGAAAUACUUAGAUAUGUCAUAGAACACCGAUUGCGAAGGCAGCUCACUAAGCUAUGAUUGACGCUGAGGCACGAAAGCGUGGGGAGCAAACAGGAUUAGAUACCCCAGUAGUC